Molecule: non-coding RNA, 1262 nt
Organism: Benincasa hispida (wax gourd)
Lineage: Eukaryota; Viridiplantae; Streptophyta; Magnoliopsida; Cucurbitales; Cucurbitaceae
Source: RefSeq, a predicted model, not a curated record
GGAUAACUUCGCCCUCGAAACACAGAACGUACUGAAUAAUCGACCCAUUUGCCAAGCAGAGUCUCCCGAAAUCUUCCCUCUUUGCCUUUAAAAUGCGGCGUGUUCGAAUUCUAAUCACUUUUACGCGAGAAAGCCGGACAAGGAGUUUAGUUGGUUGCCGGCAAGUCUCCUGCUGCUCAUGGUGUUUCACGAUCAGUAUUGGAAAUCGUGUAGGUUCGUUUGGGUUUGAUCACUUCUAUCACCAUCCAUGGCAUAUUUAUUCGUGUUCGUGGAAAUUUGUCCGGGUUUGUGUCGCAUGUUCUAUCUUUGAGUCGUUGCCAUCAUUGUUAAAUGUUGUCGUUGUCGACUAACGCACAUGGGUUAUUGAUCAUUGAGGUGAGAGUUUGCUCAACUUUAUCUUCAUCAAUUCUUUCUCUAUCAUUUUUUUCUCUUUCUCUCUCUAGAUUGGGUGUUUCUAUGAAGUUUCAUCACGAACUAAGGACUGAGUUUGGACGUCAUCAUUGUUGUUGGUCGAUUUCUACUAUUUUGUGCUUGUCGGAGAUUCGGCCAACUACUGUUGGACUUUAAGGAAGUUGAUGUUUGUUCGAGAAAUUGAAAUUUGGAUCAAGUGUUGUAAAUAAUUUCCACACCCCUUCCAAAAUUUAGGUCUUGCGCAAAUCUAUUGAAGUGAAGAAACCGCCUAGCAAAUUAAGUAUACACCGCAACAAAAUUGGAAUUCCAUGACAUUAAAACCUGUCAGAUUCAAAAUUCUUGACAGUUAUUUUAAGUCAUUGUAUCACCUAUAAAGGACUUACAUCUUGAAGGUAGUUCGGUGGAGCGAAGAAGAGAGAGUCUAUGAGGAGGACCUGACAUUUGAAAAGGUUAAGAAGAUGGGACUCAGAGAGAAAUGACAGAAAGUACUCAUUUGGCAAUUGGCUCUCGUGAUAAGAAGAAAAGGAAAUUUGUGGAUGCUACAAAAGGGACAUCUCAGCAGAAUAAAACCAAGAAACAAGCUACUGAAAAUCCUUGUUUUUUCUACAAAUAGGAAGGUCACUUCAAGAAAGAUUGUCCUAGGUACACUAAGUGGCAUGUAACGAAGGGGUUGCCUAUAGAGCCGACCGCCAAGUGAUGCUGAAAGAUUCAUCUAUGUGGGCGAUAGCAAAGCAGUUUUAGUUAAAGCUAUUGGGAAUUUUAGAUUAUUUUUAAAAAUUGGUUGUUAUUUCAAUUUGAAUGAGACUUUUGUUGUACCGUCAUUUAGACGGAAUUUAGUUUCUAUUUCUAGU